AAGUAAAUCAAAUACGAAAGUUCAGAAGAAGUUUUCCCCAACUGAAAAAUAAUACUCAGAAUGUGUACGUGUACUGCUGUAACAAAUUGUGCCGGUGAAGGUGAACGUUCUUUUUUAGUAUUAAAAUGGAUUAAGAACUAUACGGAAUUUGCAAUGAAAUAAGACGGUUAAAUAGCUUCAUUUAAUAUUGAAGCAGAAUUUUUGAAGUAACUAGAUUUGAAGAG
Non-coding RNA from Cinara cedri, 224 nucleotides. Lineage: Eukaryota; Metazoa; Arthropoda; Insecta; Hemiptera; Aphididae. The record is from the annotation of a GenBank genome assembly.